ACAGCAGCAGCCGCGGUAAUACAGAGGGUGCGAGCGUUAAUCGGAUUUACUGGGCGUAAAGCGUGCGUAGGCGGCUAAUUGAGUCGGAUGUGAAAUCCCCGAGCUUAACUUGGGAAUUGCAUUCGAUACUGGUUAGCUAGAGUGUGGGAGAGGAUGGUAGAAUUCCAGGUGUAGCGGUGAAAUGCGUAGAGAUCUGGAGGAAUACCGAUGGCGAAGGCAGCCAUCUGGCCUAACACUGACGCUGAGGUACGAAAGCAUGGGAAGCAAACAGGAUUAGAUACCCCGGUAGUCCCUGUCUCUUAUAA
Molecule: ribosomal RNA, 305 nt
Filed under: uncultured bacterium
Lineage: Bacteria
Description: partial 16S ribosomal RNA
Rfam family: Bacterial small subunit ribosomal RNA
Source: RNAcentral